AGAAUCAACGCUGGCGGCGUGCCUAACACAUGCAAGUCGAACGAGAAAGUGGAGCAAUCCAUGAGUAAAGUGGCGACCGGGUGAGUAACACGUGACUAACCUACCUUCGAGUGGGGGAUAACCUCGGGAAACCGAGGCUAAUACCGCAUAACAUCGUGAGAUCAAAGCAGUAAUGCGCUGGAAGAGGGGGUCGCGGCUGAUUAGCUAGUUGGCGGGGUAAUGGCCCACCAAGGCGAAGAUCGGUAGCCGGCCUGAGAGGGGCGCGACGGACCGACGACCUGGAACUGAAACACGGUCCAGACUCCUACGGGAGGCAGCAGUGGGGAAUUUUGCGCAAUGGGGGAAACCCUGACGCAGCAACGCCGCGUGGAGGAUGAAGUCCCUUGGGACGUAAACUCCUUUCGACCAAGACGAUAAUGACGGUACUGGUGGAAGAAGCACCGGCUAACUCUGUGCCAGCAGCCGC
Molecule: ribosomal RNA, 466 nt
Filed under: uncultured bacterium
Lineage: Bacteria
Description: SSU rRNA
Rfam family: Bacterial small subunit ribosomal RNA
Source: RNAcentral